CCUACGGGUGGCAGCAGUGGGGAAUAUUGGACAAUGGGCGAAAGCCUGAUCCAGCCAUGCCGCGUGUGUGAAGAAGGCCUUCGGGUUGUAAAGCACUUUCAGUGGGGAAGAAAGCCUUGGGGCUAAUACCCUCGAGGAAGGACAUCACCCACAGAAGAAGCACCGGCUAACUCCGUGCCAGCAGCCGCGGUAAUACGGAGGGUGCGAGCGUUAAUCGGAAUUACUGGGCGUAAAGCGCGCGUAGGCGGUCUGAUAAGCCGGUUGUGAAAGCCCCGGGCUCAACCUGGGAACGGCAUCCGAAACGGUAGGGCAGGAGUGCGGAGAAGGAAGGAGAAAUCCCCGGGGUGGCGGGAAAGGCGGAGAGAAUCGGAGGAAAAACCAGUGGGAAGGCAGGCCUUCGGAACUAACCUGAAGGCGAGGGUCGAAAGCGGUGGUAGCAAACCGGAAUAGAUACCCGAGUAGUC
This 464-nucleotide ribosomal RNA is filed under the name Vreelandella stevensii. RNAcentral describes it as "partial 16S ribosomal RNA". It matches the Rfam family "Bacterial small subunit ribosomal RNA", at positions 338 to 795 of the family's 1533-position model. Lineage: Bacteria; Pseudomonadati; Pseudomonadota; Gammaproteobacteria; Oceanospirillales; Halomonadaceae. The record is from RNAcentral.